GAUGAACGCUAGCGGCAGGCCUAACACAUGCAAGUCGAGGGGCAUCGGGAUUGAAGCUUGCUUCAAUUGCCGGCGACCGGCGCACGGGUGCGUAACGCGUAUGUAACCUACCUAUAACAGGGGCAUAACACUGAGAAAUUGGUACUAAUUCCCCAUAAUAUUCGGAGAGGCAUCUCUCCGGGUUGAAAACUCCGGUGGUUAUAGAUGGACAUGCGUUGUAUUAGCUAGUUGGUGAGGUAACGGCUCACCAGGGCAACGAUACAUAGGGGGACUGAGAGGUUAACCCCCCACACUGGUACUGAGACACGGACCAGACUCCUACGGGAGGCAGCAGUGAGGAAUAUUGGUCAAUGGACGCAAGUCUGAACCAGCCAUGCCGCGUGCAGGAAGACGGCUCUAUGAGUUGUAAACUGCUUUUGUACGAGGGUAAACUCACCUACGUGUAGGUGACUGAAAGUAUCGUACGAAUAAGGAUCGGCUAACUCCGUGCCAGCAGCCGCGGUAAUACGGAGGAUUCAAGCGUUAUCCGGAUUUAUUGGGUUUAAAGGGUGCGUAGGCGGUUUGAUAAGUUAGAGGUGAAAUCCCGGGGCUUAACUCCGGAACUGCCUCUAAUACUGUUAGACUAGAGAGUAGUUGCGGUAGGCGGAAUGUAUGGUGUAGCGGUGAAAUGCUUAGAGAUCAUACAGAACACCGAUUGCGAAGGCAGCUUACCAAACUAUAUCUGACGUUGAGGCACGAA
This 739-nucleotide ribosomal RNA is filed under the name uncultured Bacteroidales bacterium. Its description in RNAcentral is "bacterial SSU rRNA". It matches the Rfam family "Bacterial small subunit ribosomal RNA", at positions 28 to 757 of the family's 1533-position model. Lineage: Bacteria; Pseudomonadati; Bacteroidota; Bacteroidia; Bacteroidales. The record is from RNAcentral.